This is a long non-coding RNA of Salarias fasciatus (jewelled blenny), 142 nucleotides long. RefSeq lists it as uncharacterized. The transcript is spliced from 3 exons. The record is from RefSeq and is a predicted model, not a curated record. NCBI's taxonomy places the organism in Eukaryota, Metazoa, Chordata, Actinopteri, Blenniiformes, Blenniidae.
CGGCCCGCAGGAAUGUCUUAUGGAGAUCAAACCAACACUCACUUGUUUGUCUCAUCAAGACCUAAAGAUCACACGCUGACACCCCUAAGCUAAAUCGAACAGAUAUGCUGCAAUUUUCCUUUCAAAAUAAGAUUUUCACUCA